Molecule: long non-coding RNA, 1653 nt
Organism: Aedes albopictus (Asian tiger mosquito)
Lineage: Eukaryota; Metazoa; Arthropoda; Insecta; Diptera; Culicidae
Exons: 3
Source: RefSeq, a predicted model, not a curated record
UAGUCCCUUAGAGUAGGCAAACGAGCACUUAAUGAGGUGCAAACGCUUCCUUGGGUCGAGGCCAUUUGUUUUCUUGAUAAGGUGGGAGAGAGAAGGCAGCACGGCUAUCGUUCAAGUUAUCCAACGUAGCUGUGUAGUCACGAAACUACACGAAGGGUUUCGGGAAAUGACGCACUUCCGGGUGCGUCCGAGAUACACUUCCCCUUAUCUGAGGCGUGAAAGACUCGAUCAUUUCGUCCGUGAUCGUCUACUGACUUAGAAGUCCCCGCGUUUGUUAGCUAGUGUUUCGUGAGCCAAUUUAGGCCAAAGUGUGCGUAGGGAAUUGUGUGCGAUUAGUAGAACCUUAAGAAGCUCUAAACGAAGGUUGGCUUUUGUUUCAAUCCCACAGUUCCUCGCACCCAAGCGCGACGACUUCUGCUCCCCAACGGACGAAGAAUUCCCGGCAAUCGCCGAACCGCCGGAAGCGGACGGAUCCGUCUCCAUAUCUGUCCGGGAGGCCCGGGGACCUUCGAGUGGAAGAAUUCCACAUGCUGGUUCGUCCAUUGUCCAGCACAGCCGCAUCAACCGCCAAAACCGCCAUCGCAUUGGUAGGAGCAACCGCCAUUGCGUACCUCAGCUCUGUGAUUGCCACCGAUUGAUCAGCCAAGCCAGUGGGAUCAUCGACCCUAGCAGCAGGUCAUCGACUGCUGCUCAGUAAGCCAACGACAUCUCGGUGAGUCAAACCUUUUCUUUUUUUGAACGGAGUGCGGCGUCCGUUGAGGGCGCCGCGGAGGAUUUUUUUGCCAGUCUUAGACUGAAGACCGAAAGGUAGCUGCAAAGCCAACAAACCCGCUUUUGAAGAGUCGGAACCCGUUGAACGACUUCUGCGGAUCAACGUCUUGGCUCCGUGAGAAAUGCGUGCGUGAAACGCCAUCGUUCACCACCGCCAAUCAGUUUCGGGGAAUAGGAGCGCAGCCCAUUACACUGCUGUUCUGCCUAGGAAAAUGACGUCAUUAGAACAUUGAGAGCACUGAGCACAGAUAGUCAGAUAGGGAGGAGUUAGAAUUCGCACACACGCUAGGAAGUAGUAGAGAGGAACGAACACACACUAUGAUACACCAAAUUUGAAUGUUGUACCCUACUGUUUCCAAUAAACGUUAAUUAUAUGUCGUUAGAAUGAUAAGCCAAUAAUAAUCGUUUCGUUACAAAUCAAAAUAAAUGUACAGUUCAGAGUUUCCUUCCUAGCUAUUUGAUAUUUUAAUUGCGUUUAUCAUCACAUAACAUGUUAGUAGCUUCGUUGUCCCGUCCUCCACGUCAGUGAGUUUGAUUGGGUUGUUGAGUGUCUUCCAGGUCAGUGAGAAAUCUAGUGAUGAACGGAGAGAGUCUGCCGAUGAUGAGAACUUCUCACUAGUGAGAUCUUGAGGGUACGGGUGGUCUCUCACCGUUCUCUGAGUGUCGUCGUGACUGUGUAGUUAUGUUGCGAUAAUAGGGUGUUCCCGUUUGGACGUUUUAGUGCGUAGCCAGCUGGAUCGAUCCGUAAAUCCUUUCAGGAAUUUUCAAAUGGACUCGCCCUUAGGGGGUCUCAUCCGGGCAAUAUAAUAUCGGGCGCGUGGUCUCCCUUGUGGAGUGGCGCUUAAGCCACGCGUUUUAUGCUGGAUCGCCCAGCAGCGGCUA